This 465-nucleotide ribosomal RNA is filed under the name Vreelandella stevensii. RNAcentral's name for it is "partial 16S ribosomal RNA". It matches the Rfam family "Bacterial small subunit ribosomal RNA", at positions 338 to 795 of the family's 1533-position model. The record is from RNAcentral. Lineage: Bacteria; Pseudomonadati; Pseudomonadota; Gammaproteobacteria; Oceanospirillales; Halomonadaceae.
CCUACGGGCGUCAGCAGUGGGGAAUAUUGGACAAUGGGCGAAAGCCUGAUCCAGCCAUGCCGCGUGUGUGAAGAAGGCCUUCGGGUUGUAAAGCACUUUCAGUGGGGAAGAAAGCCUUGGGGCUAAUACCCUCGAGGAAGGACAUCACCCACAGAAGAAGCACCGGCUAACUCCGUGCCAGCAGCCGCGGUAAUACGGAGGGUGCGAGCGUUAAUCGGAAUUACUGGGCGUAAAGCGCGCGUAGGCGGUCUGAUAAGCCGGUUGUGAAAGCCCCGGGCUCAACCUGGGAACGGCAUCCGGAACUGUCAGGCUAGAGUGCAGGAGAGGAAGGUAGAAUUCCCGGUGUAGCGGUGAAAUGCGUAGAGAUCGGGAGGAAUACCAGUGGCGAAGGCGGCCUUCUGGACUGACACUGACGCUGAGGUGCGAAAGCGUGGGUAGCAAACAGGAUUAGAUACCCGUGUAGUC